RNAcentral lists this long non-coding RNA (234 nucleotides) under Monodelphis domestica (gray short-tailed opossum). Its description in RNAcentral is "lncRNA (ENSMODG00000042449.1)". Lineage: Eukaryota; Metazoa; Chordata; Mammalia; Didelphimorphia; Didelphidae. The record is from RNAcentral.
GGGGUUUGCUGCGGGAAAACACGCCACGCAAGCCCUACGACCUGCUUUUGGCUUCAGUUUCCUCACCUAUGAACUGAACAGCAGGAAGAGGAUUCCAAAAAGAGGUUCUCAGCAGAAAACUGCCUGAAGUGUAACCUACAUUGAGAUAACAGAGAAGAAUGAAAAGAGGCAUGGUGAUGUAGUGGCUAGAGUUCUGGACAUAGUGAAAGGGGAAUUGGGAGUUCAAAUCCCUAU